This is a long non-coding RNA of Symphalangus syndactylus (siamang), 369 nucleotides long. RefSeq lists it as uncharacterized. The record is from RefSeq and is a predicted model, not a curated record. NCBI's taxonomy places the organism in Eukaryota, Metazoa, Chordata, Mammalia, Primates, Hylobatidae.
CAGCAUGGCAACUCGCCCAAGAUAACCACAGCCGGAUAUGUAAAAACACUGGUGGUAUGGUGUUGACUGGGGGAAAAGAUCAGAUGACACCAGGGUGCUGAGGCUUGAGAGUGAAGCCACGUUCUCCAAGCUCACACAGCAAAGACAUGGGGACACCAGGACUCCAUCUACUGCAGGUUGUCUGACUGGGAACCCCCAUGCACCUGGCAGGUGACAGAAACAGGAGGCAUGUGCUGGGUUUGGAAGAGACACCUGGUGCGAGAGAGCCCUGUGGAGCCAGAUGGGGCUGAAAACAAAUGUUGAAUGGGAGAAAAGUCAAGUUCCAGGGGCACUACAUGCAGCAGGAUAUGCUUUUUAGAAAAAGUCCAA